Homo sapiens (human) is the source of this 2897-nucleotide long non-coding RNA. RefSeq annotates it as long independently transcribed non-coding RNA 2034. The record is from RefSeq and is a predicted model, not a curated record. NCBI's taxonomy places the organism in Eukaryota, Metazoa, Chordata, Mammalia, Primates, Hominidae. The transcript has 7 exons.
GGCGGGGGACACUCAGAUCUGCCCCUCUCUGCAGGAACCUGGUUUCCCCACCCUGGAGGCCAGCGCCAAAGGACGUUCACGUGCAGCUCAACCACACAAUAUAAGAGCUACUGUCUCCAAUUAACACUUGGGGACACUGAGGCAAAGAGCCUGGCUGAAUAUUGUGCCCGUGAAGACAGAGGGACAGCCUAUUUUGUUUGCUGCUUUUGACCAGGGAGACAGCGUUCACUCAUGAAUUUAAGAAAAAAAAAAUCCCUGAUCCCUACUUUUUGCCAACUUCAAUGCUGAUUUCUAGUGGUACCAAGAAAAAUGCAACUGAGCCUCCAUCCUCAAGGGGCUCACAGUCUUGUGUGGAGAUAAAAAAUGCAGGCCUGCUGCAGAUCCAAGUCCUGUGACCGGGGUCCUGCCCAAGGGUCCUGCUUCCCUAGGCAUCCCAGAAGUUCAGCCUGCAUCUCGACCAGAGCCUGAGAGUAGACACCUGCCGGUUUAUCUGUCCCUUCAUGUAGCAGGUGACAGAGGUGCCAGGGGCAUGGCAGGGGUACUCUGACACAGCACUGCCCCACGGAGCCCAUGUCCCAGGGCAGAAGACCCACGAUGCACAGCCAGCCAGGUGGCCUCAUCCGAUCAGUCAAAGGCCUCAAUAGAACCAAGACUGACCUCUGCCAAAGAGAGAAUUCUUUCAGCAGACGGCCUUCGGACUUGAGCUAUGACGGCAACUCUUCCCCGGGCCCACCUGACGGACUGGGUUUCUCAGCCUCCACAGUCGUGUGAGCCAAUUCCGGCAGUCAGGGAAAGCCUCCUGGAGACUUGGGCAAGAGACCCAAAGGAAGUGAAGGGGCGGGCAAGAUGGGAGAAGAGCAUCUGGAACAGCAUGUGCAGAGACCCAGGGCCAGGGCUGUCACUGGCAUGUUCCGGGGCUGGAUAACUGCAGUCUCAGAGAAGACCCCCAGAAACCCAAAAUGCUUCCAGCCACAGAGGAGGAGAGCAGCUGGCAGCCAGAAGCAUCCAUUCCAAGUGAGAGACAUCGAAGGGAACAAGGCUUAACCGCCUUGUCUUUGAACAGCACUAAAUGAUUCAGCAAAAGGGAUGAGAGGAAACCUUUGGCCAUGUCACGGGUUCACAGCCAUCUGUAUAUGUUCCUAUAGUCCUGCUUUGUACCUCCAGCCUAAAUGAUGGGGAGGUCGUUUGAAGAUGAGACUGACCCUUCACUACAUGUGCUGCUUCCAACCCCAGAUUCCAUCAGGCUGCACUUCUGAGAUUCAGUGAACUCCCACUCAUCCUUCAAAACCCUAUCUCAAUGUCGCUGCCAUAGCAAAGCCUUCCCUGGCCCCCUCGGGUAGGGAGGGUCUCUCUGCCCACUGGCAGGCCAAGAAGGCCAAGCUCUGCCCUCUGAGAAUCCAUCAGUGUCCCAAGCUGACUUUCCCUAGCCUCGUAUCCCUUCAUUCCAUGAAAGGGGAACUUAGGGUGGAGUGGAAAUUUUGAUCAUCUAAAGGAACAAUAAUUGCUUUCAUUCAUUCAUUUAAACAAUAUGUAUUGAGCACCUACCAAGGACCAGGCCUUGUGCUAAGUGCCCCCACAGAGGUCACAAUAGUCAUAUACUACAAACAAAUACAGCAUCACAAAGGUUGGCGCAUGAAGAGACAGCAGCUAAGGGCAUGGUCCUGGAGCCAGAAUGCCUGGAUUUGAAUCACAGCUCUACUACUUCCCAGCAGCUUGUUGAGCUUAGCCAAGUCUCUAAGCCCCUCUGAGCCUCAGCUUUAUCACCUGUAAAAUAGGGAUAAAAGCAGCAUCUGCCCUAUUCAUCUGUUCACAGGAAUACAUGGCCUAUGGAGGGAAAGUACCCAGGCUCCUGAGUGGGCCCUCCUGGCCCACGGCAGAAGCCGUGUGCAUGUCUGUUCAACAGAUACCUUUGGUGGCCUGUAUGUACCAGGCGCUUCUAUUCUCUGCUGGUCAAGGAAGGCUCACGGUGGAAUAGGAUUUAGCCCCGGGAGAGACAGCAGGGGCAUUCUAAAGACAUCGACUAGCUGGCAUCCUGUGCCAGGCAUCCCAACCUUUUGCGCAUCGCGGCUCACCUGGAAAAGACGUGGGGGUGAGGAAGGAGGUGCCACCUGCAUGAGGCAUGGCAGAAAAGCAUGACAUCACCUUUAUAGUGCAAAGCUUGACAGGAAGAAUAAGAUACAAAGUACUUAAAGAAGAUAAUCGAUAUUGGAUGUGUAUUAAAUUUCCAAGGAAAAUAUUUUUAAAUAUGUAAAUUAAUCUUGAGUUGGCUUCUACAAGCAUAACUUUUUUUUUUCUUUUUUUUUAUUUUGAUACAGAGUCUCGUUCUAUCACCCAGGCUGGAGUGCAGUGGUGUGAUCUCGGCUUACUGCAACCUCCGCCUCCCGGGUUCAAGUGAUUCUCGUGCCUCAGCCUUUUGAAUAACUGGGAUUAAAGGCGCACAACACCAUGCCUGGAUAACCUUUGUAUUUUUAGUAGAGGCGGAGUUUCACCAUAUUGGCCAGGCUGGUCUCAAACUUCCAACCUAACCGGGACCCACCCUGAUCUGCCUGCCUUGGCCUCCCAAAGUGCUGGGAUUACAGGUGUGAGCCACCGCAACCAGCCUUACAAGCAUAAAUUUUUUUAUACCAAUGUACCAGGUUUCAUGCUUGAGCUGACUAAGCACAGUCCGGGAUCAGGAAUGUUUUUCAGGGGUCAGUCCUUUGGGUUCCUGACAGUCACCACUGAUGAGAAGCGGCCGGGCAGGCAGUAGUGGAUGAGGACCACCUGUGGCACUACAGAGAGCCCUCUGGUGGCAGGUGGGAUGUCGACUGGGCACAGCUGCUGUGACUGAAUCUGAAAGGUGACAGUGGUGCCAAAGUUACCUUCCAAUAAAAUUUCAACUGUUGCACGUUUUUGAA